ACGGAGGGUGCAAGCGUUAAUCGGAAUUACUGGGCGUAAAGCGCACGUAGGUGGUUUGUUAAGCUAGCUGUGAAAUCCCCGGGCUCAACCUGGGCACUGCAAUUAGAACUGGCAAGCUAGAGUAGGGUAGAGGGGUGUGGAAUUCCAGGUGUAGCGGUGAAAUGCGUAGAUAUCAGGAGGAACACCGGUGGCGAAGGCGGGUCUCUGGGCCUUACCUGACGCUGAGGAGCGAAAGCAUGGGUAGCCAACAGGA
This 253-nucleotide ribosomal RNA is filed under the name uncultured prokaryote. RNAcentral describes it as "partial 16S ribosomal RNA". It matches the Rfam family "Bacterial small subunit ribosomal RNA", at positions 525 to 777 of the family's 1533-position model. The record is from RNAcentral.